AUUGAACGCUGGCGGAAUGCUUUACACAUGCAAGUCGAGCGGCAGCACGGGGGCAACCCUGGUGGCGAGCGGCGAACGGGUGAGUAAUACAUCGGAACAUGCCCAGUCGUGGGGGAUAACACUUCGAAAGAAGUGCUAAUACCGCAUACGUCCUGAGGGAGAAAGCGGGGGAUCGCAAGACCUCGCGCGAUUGGAGUGGCCGAUGUCAGAUUAGCUAGUUGGUGGGGUAAAGGCCUACCAAGGCAACGAUCUGUAGCUGGUCUGAGAGGAUGAUCAGCCACACUGGGACUGAGACACGGCCCAGACUCCUACGGGAGGCAGCAGUGGGGAAUUUUGGACAAAGGGGGCAACCCUGAUCCAGCCAUUCCGCGUGAGUGAAGAAGGCCUUCGGGUUGUAAAGCUCUUUCGGCAGGAACGAAACGGCGAGCUCUAACAUAGCUUGCUAAUGACGGUACCUGAAGAAGAAGCACCGGCUAACUACGUG
This 484-nucleotide ribosomal RNA is filed under the name uncultured bacterium. Its description in RNAcentral is "partial 16S ribosomal RNA". It matches the Rfam family "Bacterial small subunit ribosomal RNA", at positions 30 to 507 of the family's 1533-position model. The record is from RNAcentral.